Molecule: long non-coding RNA, 1244 nt
Organism: Nymphaea colorata (pocket water lily)
Lineage: Eukaryota; Viridiplantae; Streptophyta; Magnoliopsida; Nymphaeales; Nymphaeaceae
Exons: 6
Source: RefSeq, a predicted model, not a curated record
CUUAGGGAACCGGUGAUCGCUUUCUUUCCUUCGCUCCACGUCUCUUCCUCUGCUUCUUCGAUGGAGGGAACCAGGAAGGCUCCCGCCGGCUCCACAAUGCUACUCAAGCAGCUUAGGAGCUUCCGUUCCUUCCUCACGACGGGGAAGACCGUGGCCUUUGCGUACGGUUUCCUGACCGCUUUCGUAUUCUUCACCAUCUUCCUUGCCUUCUCUGUCUCCACGAAGCCCAGCGGCGACCGCAAUGGCCACGACUCCACUGGGAAUAUUUUGCUCACUGAAGAGAUACUCCUGGGAAGUGCUGUCCACUCUGUUUCUGCAAACCGAUGCAUUUCUACUUUCUACAGAAGUAACCAACAAGAACAAUUUCUUCCGCCCCCUCCUGCCACAAUGAAUCUGACGGAAACCCAUGAAGCUCUGAACCCCGAGAACGAGAUUCGAAUUGUCGCUGCUCCAGCUGAAGAAGGAAGAAAUAGUGCCGCGGGCAAAUGGGAGGACUAUAACUGUUAGAUUUAUCAGGAGUACAAUACCUUGAAAAGGCGAUGUCUCGGACAGCUCACAGCAAAAUGUACCUGCAUCGUUGCGGUUAAGGACGAUGGUGCUAAACGUACGAUAUUGAAUAGUAUAGUCGGAACUCUCGACAUUAGUAUCCGGAACCUACAUCAUGGAGAAAGUUUUCCAGGGGAACAUGUAAAGCCUGGGAUACAGCAUCUCUAUCAAAGAGAUACAGAAAGAUAUGCGUAUGUCGCAAAUGUAUGUGUGGCUAAAUUUGCAAGACGACAGGGAAUCGCAAGUAACAUGUUACAGUUAGCAAUAGAAACUGCCAAGGAAUCAGGUGCAAGGCAAGUGUUUAUACUCGUAGAUAAAAACAACAAAGCUGCACAACAGCUGUAUGAAAAGAUGGGAUUUCAGACAGUUGAGAAGGCAACACCUCAUUUAUUAGCUGAACAACAGUACCUGAUGUGCUUCAACACACAGACUUCACCCUGCCAUUAUCAUAUUUAGACCAGACUUGUACAGGAGAAUCGAGAUAUUAUUUGAGCUGUCCAUCAUCAAGCAGUCAAAUGUUGCAGACCAGCUUUGCAUUGUAAUUGAUUAGUUUCAUUCUUUAGAGCAGAGUCCACUCUGUGUCGACGAAAUUUUUCUUUUUCAUCAAACCCUGUUCUAGCAUGGCAGCAAUUGAGGAAACAAGGUUUCACCCAAAAAUUGGGAACCAAGCAUUAUCACUGGUUUGCAAUUGCUUUAUA